This 21-nucleotide microRNA is filed under the name Pristionchus pacificus. RNAcentral's name for it is "ppc-miR-8254-3p". The record is from miRBase by way of RNAcentral. Lineage: Eukaryota; Metazoa; Nematoda; Chromadorea; Rhabditida; Neodiplogasteridae.
UGGCAGUUGUACCACGUGGGA